GACGAACGCUGGCGGCGUGCUUAACACAUGCAAGUCGAACGGAAAGGCCUCUUUCGGGGGGUACUCGAGUGGCGAACGGGUGAGUAACACGUGAGUAACCUGCCCUUGACUUUGGGAUAACUUCAGGAAACUGGGGCUAAUACCGGAUAGGAGCUCCUGCUGCAUGGUGGGGGUUGGAAAGUUUCGGCGGUUGGGGAUGGACUCGCGGCUUAUCAGCUUGUUGGUGGGGUAGUGGCUUACCAAGGCUUUGACGGGUAGCCGGCCUGAGAGGGUGACCGGCCACAUUGGGACUGAGAUACGGCCCAGACUCCUACGGGAGGCAGCAGGGGGGAAUAUUGCACAAUGGGUGGAAGCCUGAUGCAGCAACGCCGUGUGCGGGAUGACGGCCUUCGGGUUGUAAACCGCUUUCGCUCAUGACGAAGCUUUGCGUGACGGUAGUGGGUAAAGAAGCACCGGCUAACUACGUG
Molecule: ribosomal RNA, 467 nt
Filed under: uncultured bacterium
Lineage: Bacteria
Description: partial 16S ribosomal RNA
Rfam family: Bacterial small subunit ribosomal RNA
Source: RNAcentral